This 465-nucleotide ribosomal RNA is filed under the name uncultured bacterium. Its description in RNAcentral is "bacterial SSU rRNA". It matches the Rfam family "Bacterial small subunit ribosomal RNA", at positions 27 to 507 of the family's 1533-position model. The record is from RNAcentral.
GUACGAACGCUGGCGGCGUGCCUAACACAUGCAAGUCAACGGGGUAGUUCCUUCGGGGGACUACUUAGUGGCGAAACGGGUGAGUAACGCGUGAGAAACCUGCCUUUCAGUGGGGGACAACAGUUGGAAACGACUGCUAAUACCGCAUAACAUACGGAUACCGCAUGAUAACCGUAUCAAAGGAGCAAUCCGCUGUAAGAUGGACUCGCGUCCGAUUAGAUAGUUGGUGGGGUAACGGCCUACCAAGUCAACGAUCGGUAGCCGGACUGAGAGGUUGAACGGCCACAUUGGGACUGAGAUACGGCCCAGACUCCUACGGGAGGCAGCAGUCGGGAAUAUUGCGCAAUGGAGGAAACUCUGACGCAGUGACGCCGCGUAUAGGAAGAAGGUUUUCGGAUUGUAAACUAUUGUCUGCAGGGAAGAAACAAGACUGUACCUGCAAAGAAAGCUCCGGCUAACUACGUG